GCCCGGUUAGCUCAAUCGGUAGAGCGUGAGACUCUUAAUCUCAAGGUUGCGGGUGAGUACUAGACAGACAGACAAGAACAGUCACGGCGAUGAAAAUACUAAUUCGUACGUCUAGGUUCGACCCCCGCAUCGGGCU
Xylaria sp. FL1777 is the source of this 136-nucleotide non-coding RNA. The record is from the annotation of a GenBank genome assembly. NCBI's taxonomy places the organism in Eukaryota, Fungi, Ascomycota, Sordariomycetes, Xylariales, Xylariaceae.